AACGAACGCUGGCGGCAUGCCUAACACAUGCAAGUCGAACGAACUCUUCGGAGUUAGUGGCGCACGGGUGCGUAACGCGUGGGAAUCUGCCCUUGGGUACGGAAUAACUCAGAGAAAUUUGUGCUAAUACCGUAUAAUGACUUCGGUCCAAAGAUUUAUCGCCCAAGGAUGAGCCCGCGUAAGAUUAACUAGUUGGUGGGGUAAAAGCCUACCAAGGCGACGAUCUUUAGCUGGUCUGAGAGGAUGAUCAGCCACACUGGGACUGAGACACGGCCCAGACUCCUACGGGAGGCAGCAGUGGGGAAUAUUGGACAAUGGGCGAAAGCCUGAUCCAGCAAUGCCGCGUGAGUGAUGAAGGCCUUAGGGUUGUAAAGCUCUUUUACCCGGGAUGAUAAUGACAGUACCGGGAGAAUAAGCUCCGGCUAACUCCGUGCCAGCAGCCGCGGUAAU
This 450-nucleotide ribosomal RNA is filed under the name uncultured bacterium. RNAcentral's name for it is "bacterial SSU rRNA". It matches the Rfam family "Bacterial small subunit ribosomal RNA", at positions 29 to 524 of the family's 1533-position model. The record is from RNAcentral.